This 447-nucleotide ribosomal RNA is filed under the name uncultured bacterium. Its description in RNAcentral is "bacterial SSU rRNA". It matches the Rfam family "Bacterial small subunit ribosomal RNA", at positions 355 to 825 of the family's 1533-position model. The record is from RNAcentral.
UCGGGAAUUUUGGGCAAUGGGCGAAAGCCUGACCCAGCAACGCCGCGUGAAGGAUGAAGUAUUUCGGUAUGUAAACUUCGUAAGAAUAGGAAGAAUAAACGACGGUACUAUUUGUAAGGUCCGGCUAACUACGUGCCAGCAGCCGCGGUAAUACGUAGGGACCAAGCGUUGUUCGGAUUUACUGGGCGUAAAGGGCGCGUAGGCGGCGUGGUAAGUCAUCUGUGAAAUCUCCGAGCUUAACUCGGAACGGUCAGAUGAUACUGCUGUGCUAGAGUACAGAAGGGGCAAUCGGAAUUCUUGGUGUAGCGGUGAAAUGCGUAGAUAUCAAGAGGAACACCUGAGGUGAAGACGGGUUGCUGGGCUGAUACUGACGCUGAGGCGCGAAAGCUAGGGUAGCAAACGGGAUUAGAUACCCCUGUAGUCCCUGAGCGGGCUGGCAAGGCGCAU